GUAGGGAAUAUUGGGCAAUGGUCGGAAGACUGACCCAGCCAUGCCGCGUGCAGGAAGACGGCCCUCUGGGUUGUAAACUGCUUUUAUCUGGGAAGAAAAAGGCCAUGCGUGGCAAAUUGCCGGUACCAGAUGAAUAAGCACCGGCUAACUCCGUGCCAGCAGCCGCGGUAAUACGGAGGGUGCGAGCGUUGGCCGGAUUUAUUGGGUUUAAAGGGUGCGUAGGCGGCUGAUUAAGUCAGCGGUGAAAGACUUCGGCUUAACCGGAGCAGUGCCGUUGAUACUGGUUGGCUUGAGUGUCGGAGGGGUACAUGGAAUUGAUGGUGUAGCGGUGAAAUGCAUAGAUACCAUCAGGAACACCGAUAGCGAAGGCAUUGUACUGGCCGACAACUGACGCUGAUGCACGAAAGUGUGGGGAUCGAACAGGAUUAGAAACCCUAGUAGUCC
Molecule: ribosomal RNA, 444 nt
Filed under: uncultured bacterium
Lineage: Bacteria
Description: partial 16S ribosomal RNA
Rfam family: Bacterial small subunit ribosomal RNA
Source: RNAcentral